RNAcentral lists this ribosomal RNA (253 nucleotides) under uncultured bacterium. RNAcentral describes it as "partial 16S ribosomal RNA". It matches the Rfam family "Bacterial small subunit ribosomal RNA", at positions 524 to 776 of the family's 1533-position model. The record is from RNAcentral.
UACGUAGGCAGCGAGCGUUGUUCGGAUUUACUGGGCGUAAAGAGGGCGUAGGCGGUUUUCUAAGUUUGGUGUGAAAUCUCCCGGCUUAACUGGGAGGGUGCGCCGAAAACUGGAAGGCUUGAGUAUGGGAGAGGUAAGCGGAAUUCCUGGUGUAGCGGUGAAAUGCGUAGAUAUCAGGAGGAACACCUGCGGUGUAGACGGCUUACUGGACCAUAACUGACGCUGAGGCACGAAAGCGUGGGUAGCAAACAGG